This 273-nucleotide ribosomal RNA is filed under the name uncultured bacterium. RNAcentral's name for it is "partial 16S ribosomal RNA". It matches the Rfam family "Bacterial small subunit ribosomal RNA", at positions 793 to 1055 of the family's 1533-position model. The record is from RNAcentral.
GUCCACGCCCUAAACGGUGGGUACUAGGUGUGGGGCCCGUACGGGUUCUGUGCCGCAGGGAAACCAUUAAGUACCCCGCCUGGGGAGUACGGCCGCAAGGUUGAAACUCAAAGGAAUUGACGGGGGCCCGCACAAGCGGUGGAGCAUGUGGUUUAAUUCGACGCAACGCGAAGAACCUUACCUGGGUUUUGACAUGUUAGUGGUAAGGACCCCGAAAGGGCGAUGAUCCUGGGGCAACCUAGGAAGCUAACACAGGUGCUGCAUGGCUGUCGU